This 378-nucleotide ribosomal RNA is filed under the name uncultured Alphaproteobacteria bacterium. Its description in RNAcentral is "bacterial SSU rRNA". It matches the Rfam family "Bacterial small subunit ribosomal RNA", at positions 8 to 412 of the family's 1533-position model. Lineage: Bacteria; Pseudomonadati; Pseudomonadota; Alphaproteobacteria. The record is from RNAcentral.
AGAGUUUGAUCCUGGCUCAGAACGAACGCUGGCGGCAGGCCUCAAACAUGCAAGUCUAGGGGGUGUAGCAGUACAUCACCGGCGGACGGGUGCGUAACGCGUGGGAAUAUACCUAUUGGUUCGGAACAACUGAGGGAAACUUCAGCUAAUACCGGAUAAGCCCUUACGGGGAAAGACUUCUCGCCAAUAGAUUAGCCCGCGUCCGAUUAGCUAGUUGGUGGGGUAAAAGCCUACCAAGGCAACGAUCGGUAGCUGUUCUGAGAGGAAGAUCAGCCACACUGGGACUGAGACACGGCCCAGACUCCUACGGGAGGCAGCAGUUGGGAAUCUUGGACAAUGGGGGAAACCCUGAUCCAGCCAUGCCGCGUGAGUGAUGAA